GACGAACGCUGGCGGCGUGCUUAACACAUGCAAGUCGAACGGAAAGGCCCUGCUUUUGUUGGGUGCUCGAGUGGCGAACGGGUGAGUUACACGUGAGUAACCUGCCCUUGACUUUGGUAUAACUUCACGAAACUGGGGCUAAUACCGGAUAGGAGCUCCUGCUUCUUUGUGGGGGUUGGACAGUUUCGGCGGUUGGGGAUGGACUCGCGGCUUAUCAGCUUGUUGGUGGGGUAGUGGCUUACCAAGGCUUUGACGGGUAGCCGGCCUGAGAGGGUGACCGGACAAAUUGGGACUGAGAUACGGCCCAGACUAGGACGGGAGGCAGAAGUGGGGAAAAGUGCACAAGGGGAGGAAGCCUGAUGAAGGAACGCCGCGGGGGGGAUGACGGCGUUCGGGUGGUAAACCGCUUUAGCUUGUGAGGAAGCGUGAGUGACGGUAAUGGGGAAAGAAGCACGGGAUAACUAAGU
RNAcentral lists this ribosomal RNA (467 nucleotides) under uncultured bacterium. RNAcentral describes it as "partial 16S ribosomal RNA". It matches the Rfam family "Bacterial small subunit ribosomal RNA", at positions 28 to 506 of the family's 1533-position model. The record is from RNAcentral.